UACGGGGGGGGCAAGCGUUGUUCGGAAUUACUGGGCGUAAAGGGCUCGUAGGCGGCCAAUUAAGUCGGAUGUGAAAUCCCCAGGCUCAACCUGGGAACUGCAUCCGAUACUGGAUGGCUUGAAUCCGGGAGAGGGAUGCAGAAUUCCAGGUGUAGCGGUGAAAUGCGUAGAUAUCUGGAGGAAUACCGGUGGCGAAGGCGGCAUCCUGGACCGGCAUUGACGCUGAGGAGCGAAAGCUAGGGGAGCAAACGGG
RNAcentral lists this ribosomal RNA (253 nucleotides) under uncultured bacterium. RNAcentral's name for it is "partial 16S ribosomal RNA". It matches the Rfam family "Bacterial small subunit ribosomal RNA", at positions 524 to 776 of the family's 1533-position model. The record is from RNAcentral.